AAACGGUGGUCCAGCAACAGGUGCGAACCGAACCACCCUUUCCUGUCUUCUUCUUUUUCUCGCUGCCGGCUACAGACGCGGCGGCCGGCCCCUAGCUUCCCUCGCCUUGCCGCCGCCGGCCCCCAGCUUCCCUCGCCUUGCCGCCGCUGGCCCCCAGCUUCCCUCGCGUGCCCCUGCCACCGGCUCCCUCGCGCAGCCGCCGCCUGAGUUUUGCUCGCCCUCCCCCGCUCCUCUGAUCCGUCGCGCGCCCCUGCCCCCGGCUCCCUCGCGCGGCCCCGCCCCCCACUCCCUCGCGCGUCCCUGCGACCGGAUCCCUCGCGUGGCCGCCGACCCCAGCUUCGCUCGCGCACCACCGCCCCCCAGCUCCCUCGCGCGGCCGCCGGCUGCCUCGCGACGGACCGGUCCUCCCCCGCGCCUGCAGGGAUGAGCCAUGGUUCACCGCUGGCGAGGUGCCGUUGAAGAUCCCAGGGUUCCAAAAGGAUUCGAGGGAGCGCGGGCGGUGUUGUGCCUCAGUUCAUACCUUGUUGGCGAUGAUGAUUCGUGAUAGCGCCGUGCUGUUGGAUUGAUGCCGCUCGGGAAGAUUGAUCAGCCAGAUGAAUAAUAGCUUCUGACGACGAUCUGGUCAGCUAAUACAAAAGCGAGUUUUCAUCCGGUAAUUCCAUACGCUGCUGCCGGGCAGCUGCAACCAACACCUGACAGAGGCUUAUGAAUGCGCUUUUUCCCAGCUUCCUAAACCGGUAUACCCUCUAGCCGCUAACAAAAACUGUGAGGCCCAAGACCAUGUUCAAGUGGUUAGCCCGCAAGUAAAGAAGAGAACAGGAGCAGUUUGCCUAAACCGCUGUCUGUUGCAUUUUAUUUCUGGAAGAUGCACAGGAAACCGCAUAGGUAGCCAAUGCAUUGACUGCGAACGCACCAAGCAUGGUUUCAACUUCAAGUAACUGUUCCAACAGUGUCUUCUGUUUACCAUGAGUACGCAAUGAAAAGCCAAAAUACCAGUAUUUAUCUUCAGCAGCUACGAUAUCUGUGUUCUAAAUUGGGGUCGUCAUCAAAGAAGUAGAGCUCCAGAUUAGCAAGCUAUUUGACUACCGGAGGUAGAGUAGAACAGAUGGUUCAGCAAUGGAGCAACCCAGAGAAGUAGUGGGGAAGAAAAGUUGGACGGCAACCCUCCAGUACAUACAUGUACAUAGAAGCGGGUUGCUGAACAUCGUUACUUCUCGCUAGCUGACCAUACAUUCUAUUUAGUAAAAGAAGAUUUCUCUUCCCAGGAUCUUCCCUUGAAGGCGAUGCCGCCAAGGAAGCGGGGGAAAAGGGGAUUACCACCGCUACCAAGCAGCAGCAACCGCAACCGCCCGACCCGCCUGGACCUGACGCUCCCGUGCAAGAGAAGCUGCGGAGGCUUGCUGACCAAGAGAAUAGACAGAUAAGCUACUUGAUACCCUACUAAUAGAUCAGCGACCAGGGACCCUGUAGUUAAGUUUCUGCUCGUCUAAUGGAUUUUCUUGCAUUCUGUCAAAGUUAAGGUCAUUUGACUUACUGCCGCGUCAAACAAUACCUGGAAUGCUGGAGCUAUGGCGAGAAACAAUGGCGUGAAGGUUCCUGUACGAUGAUGGCAACGAGCUGAUGCGACGGCGGGCGCGUUCAGCGGGCGAAACUCGGAGGCGGCGACCGUAGGCGGUGACCGUAAGCGGUGCGUGACUUCAGGAGCAGCAGGCAUGGGCGCCGGGCGGCAGGCGGCGGACGAAACUCGGAGGCGGCGGAUGAAACUCGGAGGCGGCGAUCCUGUCAAAGUUAAGGUGAUUUGACUUACUGCCGCAUCAAACAAUACCUGGAAUGCUGGAGCUAUGGCGAGAAACAAUGGCGUGAAGGUUCCUGUACGAUGAUGGCAACGAGCUGAUGCGACGGCGGGCGCGUUCAGCAGGCGAAACUCGGAGGCGGCGACUGUAGGCGGUGACCGUAAGCGGUGCGUGGCUUCAGGAGCAGCAGGCGUGGGCGUUGGGCGGCAGGUGGCGGACGAAACUCGGAGGCGGCGAUCCUGGCGGCGAUCCUGGCUACAAUCGGAGGUGUUGAUCGGACUGUGCAAUGAGGCAGCGCGUAAAUUCAGGAGGCUGCUCGUGACUUCACGAGGCUUGCCAUACCUUAAAGCACACGCGGGAAAUAGAAUCUUGUUUGGUUACAUGGGAAAGAAAACGUUUUUAUGGCUGUGCGGUGAAGGAAUGUAAUCUCUUUUUUUUUGAACAUGUGAUGGAAUGUAAUCUCUGUAAUCUGGUGCGGUGUGAUGAUUCUUGUUUCCUGA
Lolium perenne is the source of this 2293-nucleotide long non-coding RNA. RefSeq lists it as uncharacterized. Lineage: Eukaryota; Viridiplantae; Streptophyta; Magnoliopsida; Poales; Poaceae. The record is from RefSeq and is a predicted model, not a curated record.